UUCGAGACCGAUAGCAAACAAGUACCAUGAGGGAAAGGUGAAAAGGACUUUGAAAAGAGAGUUAAAAGUGCUUGAAAUCGCUGAAAAGGAAGCGAAUGGAACCAGUGUUGCUAGACGAGAUUGUCAUGCGCUAAGGUGAUUGCUUGUUGCUUCAACGCAAGUGUGGUCUCAAGUUUUGAUCUGGAUGCACGUGGUGGUUCUUGUCUUGUGUGUCAACGCCAAUUUUCAAUCGAGGAAAGCUCCAGGGACAUGGUGGCCUUGCCUCCGGGUGGGUGAAUGUGCCUGGCAGAACUCGCUUGUGAAUUGAUUACGGAGUCUCUGGUUGCAGUGUUCUGUGUCUGCGACAAGCCUGGAGAGGGAGUUCUCUCCACUCCCGGGUGGGUCGGGCGACAACGGCGCUUCCCUGACACAUAGACGAUGACUAAAUGGUUCUAUUCGACCCGUCUUGAAACACGGACCAAGGAGUCUAACAUAUGUGCGAGUUCACGGGCGGGUAAACCUGGUUGCGCAAUGAAAGUGACUGCUGGGAUCUUUGCACCAGCAACCGACCAAUCAAGUGAGAGAGGUUUGAGUAUGAGCAUAUCUGUUAGGACCCGAAAGAUGGUGAACUAUGCUUGAGAAGGGCAAACUCAGGGGAAACUCUGAUGGAGGCUCGUAGCGAUACUGACGUGCAAAUCGUUCGUCAUACUUGGGUAUAGGGGCGAAAGACUAAUCGAACCAUCUAGUAGCUGGUUCCCUCCGAAGUUUCCCUCAGGAUAGCUGGAGUUGAACAGUUUUAUCAGGUAAAGCGAAUGAUUAGAGGAAUCGGGGGCGCGUUGUCCUCGACCUAUUCUCAAACUUUAAAUGGGUAAGAUCCAGUGGUUACUUGGGUGAACUUCUGGGAUAAAUGACAACUCUAAGUGGGCCAUUUUUGGUAAGCAGAACUGGCGAUGAGGGAUGAACCUAACGUUGGGGUUAAGGUGCUUAACUGCUCGCUCAUCA
RNAcentral lists this ribosomal RNA (981 nucleotides) under Prorocentrum tsawwassenense. RNAcentral describes it as "eukaryotic LSU rRNA". It matches the Rfam family "Eukaryotic large subunit ribosomal RNA", at positions 327 to 1207 of the family's 3401-position model. The record is from RNAcentral. Lineage: Eukaryota; Dinophyceae; Prorocentrales; Prorocentraceae.